This 523-nucleotide ribosomal RNA is filed under the name Pelobates cultripes (western spadefoot toad). RNAcentral describes it as "SSU_rRNA_eukarya". It matches the Rfam family "Eukaryotic small subunit ribosomal RNA", at positions 119 to 582 of the family's 1831-position model. The record is from RNAcentral. Lineage: Eukaryota; Metazoa; Chordata; Amphibia; Anura; Pelobatidae.
CGGUGGAGGAGGUAGCCAACACUGUUUUUUAUAUAUAUAUAUAUAUAUAUAUAUAUAUAUGUAUAUAUAUAUAUUUUUUUUUAAUUGGGGUAGCCCCCCAAAUAUGGGGACAUAUAAAAAAAGACAACUCUGUUCCGCAGAGUAGCUGUUGACAUUAUAGUUGAGCAGGCACUUUGUUGACUCUAGAGAACCUCGAGCCAAUCACACAUCCCCGUGACGGCGACUUUGCAUUCGGAUGUCAUCCAUAUCAACUUUCGAUGCCAGCUUCUGCACCUACCAUGGGGACCACAGGUAACGGGGAAUCAGGGUUCCAUUCCAUACAAGGACCCUGAGAAAUGGCUACCACAUGCAAGGAAGGCAGCAGGCGCGCAAAUGACCCACUCCUGACGCGGGAAGGUAGUGACGACAAAUAACAAUACAGGACUCUUUAGAGGCCCUGUAAUUGUAAUGAGUCCACUUGAAAUCCUUUAACUCUGAUCAAUUGGAGGGAAGUCUGGUGCAGAGCCACUGACCCGUGCUGCAA